RNAcentral lists this non-coding RNA (24 nucleotides) under Arabidopsis thaliana (thale cress). Lineage: Eukaryota; Viridiplantae; Streptophyta; Magnoliopsida; Brassicales; Brassicaceae. The record is from RNAcentral.
UUUCCAAACGCCUCUCUCUCAAUC